AAUGAUGGCCUUGCAGUGGAUGGAGAUAUACUUGGUGAUGGAGUUUUAGGUGACUUACUAGUAAACACCAUUUUUGAUGAGAUAAUUGAUGGUCGAUCUUCAUUCAAUAAUCUUGCCAGCAGGCUUUCUACAAUAUUGGUCACUGAUUGGCCAAUUUGAUCAGAAUGAAUGACUAACAGUUUCACCAACACCAUGAAAACCACCAGUAACUACAGCUAUGUUCUUCAACUGAUUUAAAUGUAAACCUACAGACCUUAAAACAAAUAUUACAACAACACUGAUUUAUAGAAGAUAUCAAAAUUAAUUAAUGGAAAUUGUUGAAAUAUAUGUCAUCAUCUCACUAAUCUAAAUAACACAUCAAAAUCUCACCGAUGUAAAAUAUAAAGUUCAAAAUGAUCGGAUUUUAAACAA
Long non-coding RNA from Patella vulgata (common limpet), 411 nucleotides. RefSeq lists it as uncharacterized. The record is from RefSeq and is a predicted model, not a curated record. The transcript has 2 exons. Lineage: Eukaryota; Metazoa; Mollusca; Gastropoda; Patellidae.